Molecule: ribosomal RNA, 253 nt
Filed under: uncultured bacterium
Lineage: Bacteria
Description: partial 16S ribosomal RNA
Rfam family: Bacterial small subunit ribosomal RNA
Source: RNAcentral
GACGUAGGGCGCGAGCGUUGUCCGGAUUUAUUGGGCGUAAAGAGCUCGUAGGCGGCUUGUCGCGUCGACUGUGAAAACCCGCGGCUCAACUGCGGGCCUGCAGCCGAUACGGGCAGGCUAGAGUUCGGUAGGGGAGACUGGAAUUCAUGGUGUAGCAGUGAAAUGCGUAGAGAUCAUGAGGAAGACCAGUGGCGAAGGCGGCUCACUGGUCCGGUACUGACGCUGAGGUGCGAAAGCGUGGGGAGCAAACAGG